This 1183-nucleotide long non-coding RNA is filed under the name Monodelphis domestica (gray short-tailed opossum). RNAcentral's name for it is "lncRNA (ENSMODG00000050670.1)". The record is from RNAcentral. Lineage: Eukaryota; Metazoa; Chordata; Mammalia; Didelphimorphia; Didelphidae.
AAAUGUUGGAAAUUUGAAAUUUCCAACAUUUAUAAGUCUAAGAAAUUUUAAGGUUUACACUGGUCAGCAUCUAACCCUACCUAUUGUCCUAACAAAGCUACUUUUCAUUUUCAUGUCAUGCUGAUUAAAGCAAAGGUCACUUCUUUCUCCAUGGAAUAAGAGUGUUUUAAAAUAUGCAAACUGAAAGUGAUAAACCAAAAGCACCUGGACCUUGGCACCACCAUUUCCCAAACUCUUAUUUAAGUUUGGUUAACUGAUUUGUUGCCUGGUUAUUUUAGAGCUGAAAACCAAAGGAUCAGUGAGUGGGAACGGAUUGCAGGAUCCUACUCACCUUCUUGCCUAAUAAGGAGAGGGAUGAAGGUAGAAAAAAGAAAACUAAGGCAGUCCCUUUUCCAAGCAAGCUCACUCCAAUGUUCUUUGCAAGUACUAGUAGACACAGUUAAAGGUAUUGAUGAGAAUAGCCCAAGAUGUUGCAGGAUGAAAUAGAACUGUGGCUUUAGGUGUACACAGAUAAUAUCCAACAUGUGGGGCUUUAUUCUUCAAUGACAACUAGGAAGAAGAGAAACUGAGUGAAUCGGAGGCUGAAAAAGAGAGUCUAGGAUAUAAGAUGGAAUAUUCUCCAUUGAGUAGGGUCUUAUCUCCAAGGAGACUUCGUGCUGCUGAGAAGAUCCAACAACAAGUAGAAAGGUGGGAAUCACCUUCAAGAAAGUUCCAUUUUGCUCAGAAGAACCAACCACUAGCAGAAAAGAAGUCACCUCCAAGAAAGCUCUAUACUUCUGAGAAGAAGAUCCAACAACAGACAGAAAAGGAGGAGGACAUAUUGAGUGAAUCCGAGGCUGAGAAAGAGUAUAUGGUGUAUAAGAUGGAUUCUCCACUGAGGAUAGCCUCAUCUCCAAGGAAGUUCAGUGAGGAGAAGAUCCAACCUUUUUGUGUGGCAGAAAGGUGGAAGUCAUCUCCAAGAACACUCAGAGCUACUGAGAAGAGGAUGCAACAGCAGGCAGAAAAGGAGGACACUCUGUGUGAAUCUGAGACGGAGAAAGAAAAUCUGGCAUAUAAAAUAGAAUAUUCUCCAUUGAAGAAGGCCUCAUGUCCAAAAAGGCUCAGUGCUGCUGAGAAGAAGAUCCAUCAGCAGACAGAAAGGGUGAGCAGAUCCAAGAAUGCCAGAGUGGAGGGAAGAGUAUAG